RNAcentral lists this ribosomal RNA (196 nucleotides) under uncultured bacterium. Its description in RNAcentral is "partial 16S ribosomal RNA". It matches the Rfam family "Bacterial small subunit ribosomal RNA", at positions 326 to 539 of the family's 1533-position model. The record is from RNAcentral.
ACGCUCGACACCUCGGGGCAGCAGUCGGGAAUAUUGCGCAAUGGAGGAAACUCUGACGCAGUGACGCCGCGUAUGGGAAGAAGGUUUUCGGAUUGUAAACCAUUUUAGACAAGGAAGAAACAAGACAGUACUUGUAGAAUAAGCUCCGGCUAACUACGUGCCCGCAGCCGCGGUAAUCUGAGCGGGCUGGCAAGGC